CGAUCACUGGCUUGAUAGGAUCCGAUGCAUGUUAGGCUUUGACCUUUAAAGAAAUUCCAGCCAUGUGCUUUUCAGCAUGGGCUUCAGGCUCAGUUUUCCUCCAAGAUAUAAUGGAUCCGAUUUACUAGAGGUGCUGUAACUUUGGCACAUCCUUGUGAACUCACAGUUGAUCAAAAAUCACCCAAAUAAGAAGGAAAAGAGGAAGAUAUAGAAGAGAUAUUUAGAGGAUGAAGUAGCUCCUUAUUCUCGAGCUACUUGAGAUAGAAGAAGAUGAGGAUGAUUUUCAAUGAGCCAGUAGAGGGCUCUUUUUAUAGGCAUCCAAAGGUUUAACCCCCACAC
RNAcentral lists this long non-coding RNA (339 nucleotides) under Elaeis guineensis (African oil palm). RNAcentral's name for it is "long non-coding RNA (EGUI_LNC030379)". The record is from RNAcentral. Lineage: Eukaryota; Viridiplantae; Streptophyta; Magnoliopsida; Arecales; Arecaceae.